AUGAAACUAUGGAUGUCAAAAUUUGAAAUUCGAUAUCACCCCACACUUCGUUGCAGGCAUUUAGGUCAUUUUUCAUACUGAAGACAAGUCCUAUUAAUAUUUAUAGAGAGAGGGGAAAAAAAGCGCUCACUGCCUGCAGCACAAAACCAGGUCGGACUUCGAAGUGCGCGGGAACAUGCCGAUUACUGAAAGGGAGAGACUUUAGGGGUUUCCGAAGAAUCUCCAAAUAUCUUACCUCAUUUUCGCCGGAAAAUGCACCGAAGAAGGUCAUUCAUUUGAAAGAUUCGUGUUCUCUCCCGUUGCUGCUUGGAGCGCUUACAUUCUUCUCUCGUCUUAUCGUCGCUGAAAUUAGUUCAGUUUUGUUACCGGAAAACUGCUGUAGUAUGGCAAGUGCAGGAGAAUACCUUUCUCAAAUGGACAUUUCAGAAGAGGAAAAGGACAAGCUCGUAGCGGAAGCUAUACGCUAUAUCAUAUUCAAAACUCAUCAAAGUUCUGGGUGUCCAAUCAAAAGGGAAGAACUUACUCAGCUGGUAACGAAAAAUUAUCGGAAUCGGGGAUUGCCGGCUGUUGUGAUUGACGAGGCUAAAAAGAAGCUGUCGAGCAUUUUUGGUUAUGAGUUGAGGGAACUUCAAAGAACGCGGCUUUCAUCCACUGGCCAAGCGCAUUCUUCCCAACAAAAUGUUGCAGAUGCAAAAUCCUAUGUUCUCAUAAGCAAGCUUCCUGCUGAUAUUUACAGAAGGUAUGUUGAGGAUGUAAAUACAGCACACAUGACUGGUUUUACUUUUGUUGUAGUCAGUAUUGUACAUCUUGCCGGUGGCAAAAUUCCUGAAGAAAGCCUUUGGCAUCACUUGAGACGAAUGGGGUUGUCUGAAAGUGAUGAAAACCAUCCGGUCCUUGGAAACAUUAAGCAUGCAGCUGAGUUGGUUGUCCAGCAAAGGUACAGGAAAAACUGGUUUACAGGUGCCUUUUUACUCUUGCCCUGCUUUGUAGAUAUCUGCAGAAGGUCAAAGUAAAUGCUCCUGAAGGCAAUAUUACGUUCUACGAGCUUGCUGAGAGAGCUAUAGACGGACCAGUUAGUGAAAAGAUUAAAGAAUAUGUAGCACAGAUUGUGAAUACAAAUGUUACUGCAGCAGACAGCUAGCCAGUGUCUCAACUUUUCCUCCAGCUAACUUGAUAGAUCAAAUGGAUUACUUGCCAUUUUGGAACCAAAUGUAUCUAGUUAAUAUAUGUGCCUAAGGCUUGAUGAUUCCAAUUGAAUAUGUUGUAUUCAUUGCAUUAAAUACUGUUUGUUACUGUUAUUUAAUAUUAGGGUGGAAGAGCCCAUCACGGUCGGUAUCAGCUGAAUGGUUUUGUUCUACAUACUUGGAUGUGAUUGUACAUGUGGCUCUAUUUGUCCAUCC
Molecule: non-coding RNA, 1400 nt
Organism: Benincasa hispida (wax gourd)
Lineage: Eukaryota; Viridiplantae; Streptophyta; Magnoliopsida; Cucurbitales; Cucurbitaceae
Source: RefSeq, a predicted model, not a curated record